Molecule: long non-coding RNA, 2281 nt
Filed under: Salmo salar (Atlantic salmon)
Lineage: Eukaryota; Metazoa; Chordata; Actinopteri; Salmoniformes; Salmonidae
Description: lncRNA (ENSSSAG00000101927.1)
Source: RNAcentral
AAACAAUUAUAUUAAUUUAUUUCUAUGGAGUUUUGAAUGUUAUGUUGUUUGUUUUUACACCACGAUAAUAUUUUGUAUGUUGAUGCACUUGUAACGCUUUUUAUUUAAGAAAACAGUCCAUCAUAUAAGGGGUGUUACACCACUGUUUUCAACCAUCUAGAGUAGACUGUUUUAACCAUCUAGAGUAGACUGUUUCAACCAUCUAGAGUAGACUGUUUUAACCAUCUAGAGUAGACUGUUUUAACCAUCUAGAGUAGACUGUUUUCAACCAUCUAGAGUAGACUGUUUUAACCAUCUAGAGUAGACUGUUUCAACCAUCUAGAGUAGACUGUUUUAACCAUCUAGAGUAGACUGUUUUAACCAUCUAGAGUAGACUGUUUCAACCAUCUAGAGUAGACUGUUUUAACCAUCUAGAGUAGACUGUUUUAACCAUCUAGAGUAGACUGUUUUCAACCAUCUAGAGUAGACUGUUUUCAACCAUCUAGAGUAGACUGUUUUAACCAUCUAGAGUAGACUAGUUUCAACCAUCUAGAGUAGACUGUUUCAACCAUCUAUUGUAGACUGUUUAAACCAUCUAGAGUAGACUGUUUUCAACCAUCUAGAGUAGACUGUUUUCAACCAUCUAGAGUAGACUGUUUCAACCAUCUAGAGUAGACUGUUUCAACCAUCUAGAGUAGACUGUUUUCAACCAUCUAGAGUAGACUGUUUUCAACCAUCUCGACUCAGACACUUCCUAGUACAUCGUUCAUGUUAUACCACCACCUAGAGAAUAGACGUUAGCUCUGUGUCCAUCUCCUCCAUUAUGGGCGUUUUAACCCAAAAGACAAUGAGAGAGGGAGGGAAGUAAACCCAAGAGCAAAGCACAGAAUGAAGAAACAGAGGCAGUAUGUGUACUGUAGUCAGCACCAAGGCUACGUCGCUAGCUAGCUAGCUGUAAUCCCAGGGGCUGUUUGCUGUUGGUGAUGGUUCGUGUUAGCGAUGAGGCAGGGGUGUACAGAGAUGUAAUGGGUUGAGGGAGAUAGCCAUGUCUCCAAAAACCUAAGGUGAGUGUUCUGAAAGCUUUAUGGCUAACGUGGUACUUCAUUUCUCUCGACAACCCAGACUCAAGCCAUAUGUAGAACAUCAAACAUUGAUUUUGCAAUUGGUGCUCUCAUGGUUCAGUUGUCAAGAUAGACAAAGUGCCACGUUAGCCAUGAAGGUUCUGGGAAACUCUGAGUUCUGAGGUGUGUGGCAGGAAGUGAGAAAGGCUAAGGACAGCAGGUGAGGCAGGCUAAGAACAGGUGGUGUCUAGAUGCCUUAAGACGGUGUUUCAAAAGGGGUGUGUAUCAGUUUUAUGGUGUGACGUGACUGAAGAGGUUUUUAGUCGAUCAGACAGACAGUUGGUUUGGGUCGAGACGGGGCUGGUGUGAGAAUGAAAACCACUGACUAAAGGGUUACUGACUCAGUCUUUGGUCGGAUGACAGAACUCACCUCCUUGACGUAGACUCAAACCAACAUGUCUGAACAUCAUCAAGCCAACCAACAUUCGCACACAACCUCUCUCUCUAGGAGAGGUCCACCUCUCUCUCUAGGAGAGGUCUAUCUCUCUCUCUAAGAGAGGUCCAUCUCUCUCUCUAGGAGAGAUCCACCUCUCUCUCUAGGAGAGGUCCAUCUCUCUCUCUAGGAGAGAUCCACCUCUCUCUCUAGGAGAGGUCCAUCUCUCUCCAGGAGAGGUCCACCUCUCUCUCUAGGAGAGGUCCAUCUCUCUCUCUAGGAGAGGUCCAUCUCUCUCUCUAGGAAAAGUCCAUCAACUAAUAUUUGUUUUCUUUAACCAUAUGUGUAGAGCUGUGUUCAGAGGAGAGGAGUGACGGAAAGGAAAAUAAAGAUGAAUUUACUACUCUGUGAUUUGUGAUUUCUGUCUGUGUGUCUGUGUCCUGAUGGGGCCAGAUUACCACGAGGGAGAGAGAGAGAGAGUAGAGAGGGAACAAAAGAAAGAGAGAGAACGAAAGAGACAGAGAGAGAGAGAGAGACUGAAAGAACUGUUCAAGGAGUUUAAACAGAAGCCUUCUUUCUGUACAUGUGCGAGUGCUUGUGCGUUCCAAUGCACAGCUCUCCUUGAAAAAAAAAAAAAAAACGAUACACAUACAAUAGGUGAAAUGACUCCUAAAAUACGACAGCUUUAGACACACUCUCUAUGAUAGAAUAUAACAUAUGUCUAACCGGGGCUGUAAGGUUCAAAUUAAGCCAUGACUCCUGGCUGAACUUGUGCUCCAGUGAACCUGCCAACUACUGCACAGAAUAG